GACGAACGCUGGCGGCGUGCCUAAUACAUGCAAGUCGAGCGGACGGAUGGGAGCUUGCUCCCAGACCGUCAGCGGCGGACGGGUGAGUAACACGUGGGCAACCUGCCUGUAAGACUGGGAUAACUCCGGGAAACCGGGGCUAAUACCGGAUAACUCUUUCCCUCACAUGAGGGAAAGCUGAAAGAUGGCUUCUCGCUAUCACUUACAGAUGGGCCCGCGGCGCAUUAGCUAGUUGGUGAGGUAACGGCUCACCAAGGCGACGAUGCGUAGCCGACCUGAGAGGGUGAUCGGCCACACUGGGACUGAGACACGGCCCAGACUCCUACGGGAGGCAGCAGUAGGGAAUCUUCCGCAAUGGACGAAAGUCUGACGGAGCAACGCCGCGUGAGUGAUGAAGGUUUUCGGAUCGUAAAACUCUGUUGUCAGGGAAGAACAAGUACCGGAGUAACUGCCGGUACCUUGACGGUACCUGACCAGAAAGCCACGGCUAACUACGUG
RNAcentral lists this ribosomal RNA (498 nucleotides) under uncultured bacterium. Its description in RNAcentral is "partial 16S ribosomal RNA". It matches the Rfam family "Bacterial small subunit ribosomal RNA", at positions 28 to 507 of the family's 1533-position model. The record is from RNAcentral.